Oryctolagus cuniculus (rabbit) is the source of this 1118-nucleotide non-coding RNA. The record is from RefSeq and is a predicted model, not a curated record. Lineage: Eukaryota; Metazoa; Chordata; Mammalia; Lagomorpha; Leporidae.
UGGGCGGGGCCCCAGGGGCGCUUCUCCCGCGAGGAGUUCCGCGUGAAGUGGCGGGAGCGGCGGCUAUGGAGGCGCGGGAAGCGAAAGAAGCGCAGGUUGCUGCGUGGUUGAAAAAAAUAUUUGGAGAUCAUCCCAUUCCACAGUAUGAGGUGAACCCACGGACCACAGAGAUUUUGUAUCAUCUUUCGGAACGCAACAGGGCCCGGGACAGGGACGUCCACCUAGUCAUAGAGGACUUGAAACAGAAAGCAAGCGAGUAUGAAUCCGAAGCCAAGCAUCUUCAAGACCUUCUCAUGGAGAGUGUAAAUUUCUCUCCUGCCAAUCUCUCCAGCACCGGUUCCAGGUAUCUGAAUGCUUUGGUUGACAGUGCAGUGGCUCUUGAAACAAAGGAUACCUCACUUGCUAGUUUUAUCCCUGCAGUGAAUGAUUUGACAUCUGAUCUUUUUCGUAUCAAAUCCAAAAAUGAAGAAAUCAAGCUUGAAUUGGGAAAACUUGAAAAAAAUCUAACUGCAACAUUAGUAUUAGAAAAAUGUCUACGAGAGGAUCUCAAGAAGGCAGAACUGCAUCUGUCUAUAGAAAGGGCCAAAGUUGACAGUCGUCUUCAGAACAUGGAUUUCCUGAAGGCAAAGUCAGAGGAGUUCAGAUUUGGCAUCAAAGCUGCAGAGGAGCAGCUCUCAGCCAGAGGCAUGGACGCUUCUCUGUCUCAUCAGUCACUAGUCGCACUGUCGGAGCAUUCUGUAAAGGUACUAAAUGAUCGUGAAAAUUGUUUGUGGAUUUAAAGUCAGUUGGGGAAUCUCAGUGUUAAUCCAUCUCUUGCUCAAGUGAAAAUUGAAGAAGCAAAGCGAGAAUUAGAUGCCAUUGAAGCUGAACUUACAAAGAAAGUAGACAUGAUGGAACUGUGACCAGAGCCAAAUAAACAUCCUUUUCCCUAACAAAGUACAUUGAGUAGAACUUCAAAGGACCUUUUUUUUUUUUUUGCUCUUGGCAUUCCUUAAAAAGAUAAUUUCUAUGUUCUUAGAUGAGAUGAUAAUGUCAAUAUUGAUAGAAUGAUGGUUUCUGGCUGUGUAUUGUAUUUUUGUGCUCCAAUACAGUUUUCAUAUUAAAAAGCAUUUCUCUCA